UCAGGGAAAAUUGAAGAUCAAAAAGAAAGUGACAACAAAAGUCAACAAAACCCUUUAUAUGUCAACGAUGAAACCUACGAAGUACUUCAGGUUAACAAAGACCGCACAUAAAUCAAUGGCAAGGCAUCUCAGAGCAGAAAAAAAAUGACUCGAACAGGUUUUAUGGUACAAAAAA
Long non-coding RNA from Saccostrea echinata, 175 nucleotides. RefSeq lists it as uncharacterized. Lineage: Eukaryota; Metazoa; Mollusca; Bivalvia; Ostreida; Ostreidae. The transcript is spliced from 3 exons. The record is from RefSeq and is a predicted model, not a curated record.